Alosa sapidissima (American shad) is the source of this 1071-nucleotide long non-coding RNA. RefSeq lists it as uncharacterized. The record is from RefSeq and is a predicted model, not a curated record. The transcript has 3 exons. Lineage: Eukaryota; Metazoa; Chordata; Actinopteri; Clupeiformes; Clupeidae.
AUGGUGGGAUUUUUUGGGAAGUCACAGCCUCCCGUGCUUUCCCGAGAAGUGUGGAGGCGGGGCCCUUCUGUCUAAGACUCGUCCACCGAAAAUAACCUGCAUGAGGGAGGGAAGAGACUUCCAGAGUAAAAGUGAGAGAGGGAGGAGGAAAGGAUAGCGCCCGAAACAUCGGAGAGGGGGACGACAAGAAGAAGAAGAGAAACGGAGUGUCUGCGUUGCAAUGGAAUUAAAACUGCGCAAUUUCAUAUCCUCUCCGCCGCUCUGCCUGUGUUGGCCAGCGGCUGCAGAUCUCGGCUGCAGAUCAGCCACACACCGCCUCAUGGCUCCUGGAAAUGCGUUCGUCCAGCUUGCGCGGAUUUCCGCGCCAUACACCACUGUCCGCCGUUUUGACAAACAUUGUCUGGCAAUUUUUGUGAUCAUGUUUGACCUACAUGGCAAACGUUUGAGGAAGAAAUAGCUUGAAACAAGCCACAGUGACGGCCACAUCUUCGCUUCGGUUUCAUAACGUAUCUGCGCGUGUGGAAGUGCAUCCUCACGCCGUCAUUAGGAACAUGCGUAUCGAUUUGGAAUGCAUAAUUAAACCUUCAAACAUGACCAUGCUCAUGCUGCGUGACUCUCCAGGCGCCCAUUCGGGUGGGAAGAGGGGAGUGCGUGACAUAACCGUCUUUUGGGGAUGCAACACUGUACAAUUUACCACUAUGGAAAAGGGACACGGCACCUCCCAGGCACUCUCUGAUUUUGGCAGCAGAGAAGUGCAAGCAAACCUGAAUGCUGAUGAACGAGCUGGGCAGUACCAAAGCCCGUCUUAUUAGACAUUCUCUGGCAGUACCAACACCGCGAGGGUCAGAGAGUUUGUCUGAGGAUCACAACAGCCAAUCAUGACAGAGUUUCUCGUGCCUCUUGAGGGGCAGACCAAAUGGCCAAUCGGCUUUUACGAUGGGACGUCCCCGCGUCCUGGGUCUGUCGGUUCACCUCUCACCCAGGCAGCUCUCUCCUCCUCCCCAGGUGGAGGCCACCACGCUGGGCAGGUAAGCCCAUCUCAGUCCCCCCACCUCCACCACCAAGUCUCCC